CGGCGCACGGGUGAGUAACACGUGGGUAAUCUGCCCUGGAGUGGGGAAUAACACCGGGAAACCGGUGCUAAUACCGCAUACGAUCACGGAGUCUUAGGAUUCUGUGCUGAAAGGAGCAAUUCGCUCUAGGAGGAGCCCGCGGCUGAUUAGCUAGUUGGUGAGGUAACGGCUCACCAAGGCUUCGAUCAGUAUCCGGUCUGAGAGGACGGUCGGACACACUGGAACUGAGACACGGUCCAGACUCCUACGGGAGGCAGCAGUGGGGAAUUUUUCGCAAUGGGGGCAACCCUGACGAAGCAACGCCGCGUGGGUGAUGAAGUCUCUUGGGACGUAAAACCCUUUCGACGGGGAAGAAACCGCAAGGUUGACGGUACCCGUAGAAGAAGCCCCGGCCAACUCCGUGCCAGCAGCCGCGGUAAUACGGGGGGGGCAAGCGUUGUUCGGAAUUACUGGGCGUAAAGGGUGCGUAGGCGGUCCGCUAAGUUGGAUGUGAAAACUCUGGGCUUAACCCAGAGCCUGCAUUCAAAACUGACGGGCUAGAGUUCUGGAGGGGGUAGCGGAAUUCCUGGUGUAGCGGUGAAAUGCGUAGAUAUCAGGAGGAACACCGGUGGCGAAGGCGGCUACCUGGACAGAAACUGACGCUGAGGCACGAAAGCUAAGGGAGCAAACAGGAUUAGAUACCCUGGUAGUCCUAGCCCUAAACGAUGGAUACUUGGUGUGUCCGGGAUUGAAUCCGGGCGUGCCGAAGCUAACGCAUUAAGUAUCCCGCCUGGGGAGUACGGUCGCAAGGCUGAAACUCA
This 800-nucleotide ribosomal RNA is filed under the name uncultured Acidobacteriota bacterium. Its description in RNAcentral is "bacterial SSU rRNA". It matches the Rfam family "Bacterial small subunit ribosomal RNA", at positions 96 to 903 of the family's 1533-position model. Lineage: Bacteria; Pseudomonadati; Acidobacteriota. The record is from RNAcentral.